UACAUGCAGUCGAGCGGACAGAUGGGAGCUUGCUCCCUGAUGUUAGCGGCGGACGGGUGAGUAACACGUGGGUAACCUGCCUGUAAGACUGGGAUAACUCCGGGAAACCGGGGCUAAUACCGGAUGCUUGUUUGAACCGCAUGGUUCAAACAUAAAAGGUGGCUUCGGCUACCACUUACAGAUGGACCCGCGGCGCAUUAGCUAGUUGGUGAGGUAAUGGCUCACCAAGGCAACGAUGCGUAGCCGACCUGAGAGGGUGAUCGGCCACACUGGGACUGAGACACGGCCCAGACUCCUACGGGAGGCAGCAGUAGGGAAUCUUCCGCAAUGGACGAAAGUCUGACGGAGCAACGCCGCGUGAGUGAUGAAGGUUUUCGGAUCGUAAAGCUCUGUUGUUAGGGAAGAACAAGUACCGUUCGAAUAGGGCGGUACCUUGACGGUACCUAACCAGAAAGCCACGGCUAACUACGUGCCAGCAGCCGCGGUAAUACGUAGGUGGCAAGCGUUGUCCGGAAUUAUUGGGCGUAAAGGGCUCGCAGGCGGUUUCUUAAGUCUGAUGUGAAAGCCCCCGGCUCAACCGGGGAGGGUCAUUGGAAACUGGGGAACUUGAGUGCAGAAGAGGAGAGUGGAAUUCCACGUGUAGCGGUGAAAUGCGUAGAGAUGUGGAGGAACACCAGUGGCGAAGGCGACUCUCUGGUCUGUAACUGACGCUGAGGAGCGAAAGCGUGGGGAGCGAACAGGAUUAGAUACCCUGGUAGUCCACGCCGUAAACGAUGAGUGCUAAGUGUUAGGGGGUUUCCGCCCCUUAGUGCUGCAGCUAACGCAUUAAGCACUCCGCCUGGGGAGUACGGUCGCAAGACUGAAACUCAAAGGAAUUGACGGGGGCCCGCACAAGCGGUGGAGCAUGUGGUUUAAUUCGAAGCAACGCGAAGAACCUUACCAGGUCUUGACAUCCUCUGACAAUCCUAGAGAUAGGACUUCCCCUUCGGGGGCAGAGUGACAGGUGGUGCAUGGUUGUCGUCAGCUCGUGUCGUGAGAUGUUGGGUUAAGUCCCGCAACGAGCGCAACCUUUGAUCUUAGUUGCCACCAUUCAGUUGGGCCUCUAAGGUGACUGCCGGUGACAAACCGGAGGAAGGGGGGGAUACGUCAAAUAUCUUGCCCCUUUUAACUGGGGUACCCCCGGGUUAAAUGGACAAACAAAGGGGGGGAAACCGCGGGGUAGCCAUCCCCCAAUUGUUUC
This 1240-nucleotide ribosomal RNA is filed under the name Bacillus haynesii. Its description in RNAcentral is "bacterial SSU rRNA". It matches the Rfam family "Bacterial small subunit ribosomal RNA", at positions 52 to 1287 of the family's 1533-position model. Lineage: Bacteria; Bacillati; Bacillota; Bacilli; Caryophanales; Bacillaceae. The record is from RNAcentral.